This 1698-nucleotide ribosomal RNA is filed under the name Triticum aestivum (bread wheat). Its description in RNAcentral is "partial small subunit ribosomal RNA". The record is from RNAcentral. Lineage: Eukaryota; Viridiplantae; Streptophyta; Magnoliopsida; Poales; Poaceae.
AUGGGCACAGUUUUGGAUGCUCUCACUUCGAAAUUUUUGACAAGGCUGGGUCGGCUUAUUGAAGAUGAGGUUGUGAUGACACUAAGCGUGAAAAAGGACAUCAAAAGGCUGAAGAAAAAUCUGGAACACUUCAGCGCAGUUCGCGAGGAUGCGGAAGCUCUGGCCAUGGAAGAUAGACGCAUAGAGGCGUGGUGGAAGAACAUGAGUGAUGUUAUGUUUGAUGUUGAUGUCAUCAUAGACCUUGUUAUGGUUCAUUCACAAAAAAAUUUGCUGCCAGCAAGAUCGCUCUGUUUCAAUCAGCCUAUGGUCUCUUGUUUUGAAAAUAUUUUAUUUGAUAACAAGGUGGCUAGAAGAAUUAAGGACAUAAAUGAAAAGCUUGAUGAGAUUAAAAUGAACACAGAGAUGUUCAGCUUGGAUAGAUCCCUUCAUCAACAGUUCCAGGUAACAAGUGUGGACAGAAAUCAGACAUCUCCUAUAGAUGAACUAGAGGUUGUUGGAAGAGAGAUCAAGCAAUCGGUUGAUGACAUGGUACAAAUAAUUGUCAGUGGCUGCCAUGAGAAUAAUACAAGUGUUCUGGGGAUUCAAGGAAUGGGAGGCAUCGGUAAGACAACGUUAGCUCAGAAGAUAUAUAAUCAUCAGAUGAUAAGAGAGAAAUUCCAAGUUCAUAUAUGGCUGUGCAUUUCGCAGAGCUACACAGAGACCGGGUUGAUAAAGCAGGCAAUACGAAUGGCUGGAGAAAAGUGUGAUCAGCUAGAGACCAAGACCGAGCUUCUACCACUUUUAGUGGACACUAUCAAAGGAAAGAGUGUUUUUCUUGUGCUGGAUGAUGUGUGGAAGUCUGAUGUCUGGAUUGAUCUUCUUCUAUCACCUUUCAUGAGAGCUUCGAACUUCCAGAUCCUUGUGACCACAAGAGACCUGUAUGUUUUGUCAGAAAUGCAUGCAACAUAUAUCCACCGAGUAAACAAAAUGAAUUACAGUGAUGGCUUAGAACUGCUUAUGAAGAAGUCCUUUCAAUCAUCCGAGCAAAUAUGUGAAUUCAAGAAUGUUGGCUAUGACAUUGUAAAGAAAUGUGAUGGUCUUCCUCUUGCCAUCAAGGUUGUUGCUGGUGUCCUAUCCACCAGAAGAACAGUUGCCGAAUGGAAGAGCAUCCGAGAUAGUAAAUGGUCCAUUCAUGGACUCCCCAAAGAACUUGGAGGUCCCCUGUAUUUAAGUUACAGCAACUUACCCCCUCAACUCAAGCAGUGCUUUCUCUGGUGUGCUUUGUUGCCUCCUAAUUUUGCAAUAGGUCGUGAUGAUGUUGCUUACUGGUGGGUUGCCGAAGGUUUUGUGAGGAAAGAGCAUGACCACUCAAUACAUGAAAUUGCGGAAGAGUAUUACCUUGAGCUAAUCAGGAGGAAUCUUCUGCAACCGAUACCUUUUUUUGUAGAUAAAGGUGAGUCAACGAUGCAUGAUUUAUUGAGGUCACUUGGGAAAUAUCUGACAAAGGAUCACUCCCUAUUCAUGAAUGCGGAAAGUAAAAAUUCCAUGCCGAAUCUGCGCCGCUUAGGUAUCAGCCAUGCUAUAGAAGAAAUCCCCCCUCUAGGAGAAAACAAGUGCUUGAGGAGCCUCCUACUUUUUAAUAACAAGAAUUUCAAGUCAAUUCGCAAAGAUAUUUUCAGAAAGCUUGAGCAUAUCCGUGUCUUGGAUGACCCAAGCUGA